This 500-nucleotide ribosomal RNA is filed under the name Spiroplasma endosymbiont of Heliconius erato chestertonii. RNAcentral describes it as "bacterial SSU rRNA". It matches the Rfam family "Bacterial small subunit ribosomal RNA", at positions 1 to 502 of the family's 1533-position model. Lineage: Bacteria; Bacillati; Mycoplasmatota; Mollicutes; Entomoplasmatales; Spiroplasmataceae. The record is from RNAcentral.
UUUUAGAGUUUGGAUCUGGCUCAGGAUGAACGCUGGCGGCAUGCCUAAUACAUGCAAGUCGAACGGGGUGCUUGCACCCAGUGGCGAACGGGUGAGUAACACGUAUCUAAUCUACCUUUUAGUGGGGGAUAACAGUUGGAAACGACUGCUAAUACCGCAUACGACGUCGAUAUGGCAUCAGAAGACGUUGAAAGGCCCGUUUGGGUCGCUAGAAGAUGAGGAUGCGGCGUAUUAGCUAGUAGGUGGGGUAAUUGCCCACCUAGGCCAUGAUACGUAGCCGAACUGAGAGGUUGAUCGGCCACAUUGGGACUGAGAUACGGCCCAGACUUCUACGGAAGGCAGCAGUAGGGAAUUUUUCACAAUGGGCGAAAGCCUGAUGAAGCAAUGCCGCGUGAGUGAUGACGGUCUUCGGAUUGUAAAGCUCUGUUGUAAGGGAAGAAAUGCUAGAAGAGGAAAUGCUUUUAGUUUGACGGUACCUUACCAGAAAGCCACGGCUAAAA